This 935-nucleotide ribosomal RNA is filed under the name Lactiplantibacillus plantarum. RNAcentral's name for it is "bacterial SSU rRNA". It matches the Rfam family "Bacterial small subunit ribosomal RNA", at positions 379 to 1308 of the family's 1533-position model. The record is from RNAcentral. Lineage: Bacteria; Bacillati; Bacillota; Bacilli; Lactobacillales; Lactobacillaceae.
ACGUCUGAUGGAGCACGCCGCGUGAGUGAAGAAGGGUUUCGGCUCGUAAAACUCUGUUGUUAAAGAAGAACAUAUCUGAGAGUAACUGUUCAGGUAUUGACGGUAUUUAACCAGAAAGCCACGGCUAACUACGUGCCAGCAGCCGCGGUAAUACGUAGGUGGCAAGCGUUGUCCGGAUUUAUUGGGCGUAAAGCGAGCGCAGGCGGUUUUUUAAGUCUGAUGUGAAAGCCUUCGGCUCAACCGAAGAAGUGCAUCGGAAACUGGGAAACUUGAGUGCAGAAGAGGACAGUGGAACUCCAUGUGUAGCGGUGAAAUGCGUAGAUAUAUGGAAGAACACCAGUGGCGAAGGCGGCUGUCUGGUCUGUAACUGACGCUGAGGCUCGAAAGUAUGGGUAGCAAACAGGAUUAGAUACCCUGGUAGUCCAUACCGUAAACGAUGAAUGCUAAGUGUUGGAGGGUUUCCGCCCUUCAGUGCUGCAGCUAACGCAUUAAGCAUUCCGCCUGGGGAGUACGGCCGCAAGGCUGAAACUCAAAGGAAUUGACGGGGGCCCGCACAAGCGGUGGAGCAUGUGGUUUAAUUCGAAGCUACGCGAAGAACCUUACCAGGUCUUGACAUACUAUGCAAAUCUAAGAGAUUAGACGUUCCCUUCGGGGACAUGGAUACAGGUGGUGCAUGGUUGUCGUCAGCUCGUGUCGUGAGAUGUUGGGUUAAGUCCCGCAACGAGCGCAACCCUUAUUAUCAGUUGCCAGCAUUAAGUUGGGCACUCUGGUGAGACUGCCGGUGACAAACCGGAGGAAGGUGGGGAUGACGUCAAAUCAUCAUGCCCCUUAUGACCUGGGCUACACACGUGCUACAAUGGAUGGUACAACGAGUUGCGAACUCGCGAGAGUAAGCUAAUCUCUUAAAGCCAUUCUCAGUUCGGAUUGUAGGCUGC